This 142-nucleotide ribosomal RNA is filed under the name uncultured eukaryote. RNAcentral's name for it is "partial 18S ribosomal RNA". It matches the Rfam family "Eukaryotic small subunit ribosomal RNA", at positions 1299 to 1458 of the family's 1831-position model. The record is from RNAcentral.
UGGUGGAGUGAUUUGUCUGGUUAAUUCCGUUAACGAACGAGACCUCGACCUGCUAAAUAGUUCGACAAAGGAUUUUUUCUUUGGACGUGACUUCUUAGAGGGACUAUCGGUGUGUAGCCGACGGAAGUUCGAGGCAAUAACA